RNAcentral lists this ribosomal RNA (491 nucleotides) under uncultured bacterium. RNAcentral describes it as "partial 16S ribosomal RNA". It matches the Rfam family "Bacterial small subunit ribosomal RNA", at positions 30 to 507 of the family's 1533-position model. The record is from RNAcentral.
AGUGAACGCUGGCGGUAGGCCUAACACAUGCAAGUCGAACGGCAGCACAGUAAGAGCUUGCUCUUACGGGUGGCGAGUGGCGGACGGGUGAGGGAUACAUCGGAAUCUACUUUUUCGUGGGGGAUAACGUAGGGAAACUUACGCUAAUACCGCAUACGACCUACGGGUGAAAGCAGGGGAUCUUCGGACCUUGCGCGAUUGAAUGAGCCGAUGUCGAAUUAGCUGGUUGGCGGGGUAAAGGCCCACCAAGGCGACGAUCCGUAGCUGGUCUGAGAGGAUGAUCAGCAACCCAGGAGCUGGGCAACGGUCCCGCAGCGGAGGGGAGGCACAGGGGGGAAUCAUGGGAAAAGGGGCGAAAGCUUGUACAGCACAACCGGGGUGGGUGAGAAAGGCCUUCGGGUGGUAAGGCCAUUUGUUGGGAAAGAAAAGCAGCAGGUUAAUACGCCGCUGUUCUGACGGUACCCAAAGAAUAAGCACCGGCUAACUUCGUG